CCCCGGAGCCCAGCUGGUGGCUAAUUGCUGACUUUGGCUUCUCCACCCAGGGACCCAGAGAGACAAAGUGCACCGAGCUGCACGCCCUGCUGGCUGGAGGGCCCCGCCGUCCUGUCUCCUCCGCCUCCCCGCCUCCUCACCCUUGGAAGUCGACCUCCCAUCCCCUGAGGGGUUCGAUUUUACGAGGGGGAACAAGGCCAUUUCCUGGCCGAGAGCUGUGAACAGGAGCAAAGAAAGGAAAACAUACGUCCAUACAAAGAUUUGCGCACGGAUGCUCACAGCAGUCUCAUUUUAAGCCAGCAGAUGAACAGAUACACAAAAUGUGGUCCCUCCAAACGGGAAUAUUACGCAGCCACGAAAAGGAGAGAAGCACUAACACCCGCUCCCACGUGGACGGACCCUGAGAGCACAGUGCUCAGUGAGAGACGCAGACGCAGGACACACAGUGUGUGAUUCCAUGGAUGUGAAACAUCCACAACAGGCCAGUCCACGUGGCAGAGAGUGGAUUCCUGGUUGUCAGGGGCUAGGGGACGGGGAGCAGGGGUAAUGGUAAUGAGG
Long non-coding RNA from Camelus dromedarius (Arabian camel), 558 nucleotides. RefSeq lists it as uncharacterized. NCBI's taxonomy places the organism in Eukaryota, Metazoa, Chordata, Mammalia, Artiodactyla, Camelidae. The record is from RefSeq and is a predicted model, not a curated record. The transcript is spliced from 3 exons.